Molecule: long non-coding RNA, 2491 nt
Filed under: Oryza sativa (Asian cultivated rice)
Lineage: Eukaryota; Viridiplantae; Streptophyta; Magnoliopsida; Poales; Poaceae
Description: long non-coding RNA (OSAT_LNC001123)
Source: RNAcentral
CACAGGUCGCCAGGUCGGGCCGUCGGGGUGGGGAGGGCGCGGGUCAGGGUGGGGAGGGAGGUGGGGUGAAUCCGGAGCGUUGGAUCGGAGCGAGGUAAUCUGUACCGUUGAGUGAGAAAUGAAAGAAUGAGUGAUAAGUGAUAAGUGAAAUCAUUUGUUGAACUAUAGGGUAUAUAUAUAGAUACAUAGAAAAAGGAAAAGAGAGGCAAGGUCACGUAGGUAUGUACGUUCGGAAGGAAAGUAAGUCCCCGGUCGAUUUGUUUUAAAUAAGGUCAAAUCUAAAUCGAGAGCAUCUGUUUAGGCAUAACCAGCAACAGGGCAUUAACUGGAAGAACAUACUUAACAACUAUAGUACUAGUCCAUCAAGCAAGUAGGUAAAUAUAUUUCUACCACCUAAGCCUCAAAUAAUUUUUUUCUCUUAAAUUACUCAUCUGAGCGAUCCAAACUGUUGUGUUCGUAAUAAUUAAAUAUUUAUAACAAGAUCUUACAUGAUUAUAUUUUUCAUGAAAAAUUACAAAUUAAUAUAUCUAAAUUAAUUUUAGAUUUCAUUAAAUUACUUCUUAGACAUAUAAAAGUAAAUUCAAUAGCCUAAAAGUAAUAUGUAUAUAUUAUAGAAGUAACUUAAAACAAAAAGAAAGUAACUUGUCACCACAUUAGAAGUAAAUCUGUUGUGAGGGUAAAAACAUGAGUCUAUCUAGAAAUUAAAUUUAGUCAACACAAAUUAUGGAAUUGACUAAAAACAAUAAUAAAAAUAAAAACUCAUAACAUUAUGAAUGUAUAAGAAUUAAUUUAAUAAAAUCUAAAAGUAAUUUUUAUAUAUGAUAAAGUAACUUACAUAUAUAAUAAAAGUAAUUUACAACAUAGAUAUUUUUUAUUAGAAUAUAAUCAUGUAAAAUCUUGUUGUAAAGAUUUAAUCUCAAUAAACACAAUGAUAUAAUCGGAUUAUAGAUCGGAUAAGUAAUUUAAGAGAAAAUUCUACCAGAAGAAAAAAAUACAUUCACUGUUGAGUAUACUAAUAGCAACCAGAGUGAGGUCGCUGGAUAUAACUAAUCAGCGGACUGCAUGAAAUCUUCAGUCAGCAUACUUUUCUAUUAAGCCUCCUCGCGAAGGCAAAAGGCAAACUCCUGUGGAAACCCUCAUGUAUUUGUAAACAUUCAUGUUAAUAAAUUAUGAUAAAAUACAGUGUUUCCUAUAUUUCUAUGUGUUUGUUGUUUUGUUUUCAUCCAACACUGGCUUACGUGCACAUUGCACACACUCAGGGCCUGUUUGGUAGAGUUCCAACUCCUAAAUUUAGUUUUAGGAGUUGGGUUUUCAGUAGAGUUGUGUAGCUGGCUAAACCCAGCUUCACCUCUCUAGUUCAUUUUGUGAAAGCGCUCCACCCAGCUCUACCCCUAUUUCAGUUGGAGCUGAAACUGUUUGGCUGAGCUCCAGCUUUAGAAAAGAUGAAGUUAGAGUUGGAGCUGUACCAAAUAAGCCUUCAGAACACUACUCCUACCUGCUAGCUGCGCAUGCACACGGAACUAAUGAGCUGGGCUGCCUUAGGCCUAUGGGGGGCUCGGCCCCUCCUGACCACUGCUGUGUUCGCCCUGCAUACUAUGUUUUAUGACUUUUUUCUAGUUCACAUAUAUUGAUGGUCUUUUUCUGCUAACCGCUCCAACUCUUAGAUGUUCAACAGAAAACCGCCGGUUUGAUGGCUUUUUUUUGGGUUUGGUCUAUUCUGCAGCCCGAACCGUGGCAGCACUGCUGGUUUUUUCUAUUUUGACCGCUGUUUGCACUACCACGGGAUGGAUUUUUCCGUGAGGACAAAAAAAAAACUUACGUACGGAUGAAUCGUGAUUUUUGCGUGUGGGUGGUGCCCCAACACACGAAAAUCAGAUUUUUUUUUCCGUGCGGUUGCUUAUGUCGCCCGCACGGAAAAAUAAAAAUCCGAAAAAAAAUAAUAUUCACAAAUUACCGAAACCCUAACCCUAGAUCCGCCGCUCCCCGCCGCCACGGCCGCCGGAUCCGGGCUGGGGACUGCCGCCGCCGCUAGAUCCAAUCGGAGGGUAGCCGCCACCGCCGGAUCCUAGUGUGGGGAGGGUGGCGCCGCUCCCGGCUGCCAGAUCCCGGCCGCCUCCUCCUCAUCGUUGUCGGCAGCCGCAUGACGUGGGGAGGGUGGCGCCGCUCCUGGCCGCCUCCUCCUUCUCGACGUCGGCGGCAGCCGCCGCGCCGCCUCUGCCAGCAGCCACGACGGGCGCCUCCUCGUCGGCGCGCGAUGGCGGCGCCGCUCCCGGCCGCCGCUUCCUCCUCGUUGUUGUCGGCGGCAGCGGCUGCCGCCGCGAUGCCUCUGGCAGCAUCCGCACCAGCCUCCCGCGCCUCGGCCGCCGCUGCCGACGCCCGCGCUCUCAGAGAAUGGAGAGGAGAGGAGAGUUGAAAGGCAGAGAGAGAAGUUUCGCUCAGAGAGAGGAGUGAAUAUUAAAAGGAGAAAGGUAGAGAGAGUAGAUGAAAAUUU